AAACAAACUGUUCUUGCAAAGUUAUGACCGCUAUUACCAUGACUGCCUCAUGUGCUUUACAAAUGAAUAAGCAGUUGUGUGAUCAGGAGAGUAUGCCGGUUUUCUUUUACUGGCUCUUAGAAUAUUUUUGGUAUUAGACUUGGGGUAAUACACUUUUUUUAGGUGACACAAAAAAACUUUAGAUGUAACAGUAGGUAUUAAUUCAAUCUAAAUCUGGCAGUUUGGGGACAUUUACGCAUAUUUACAUUUUUGCCAUUCAAAGAAAACCAAUUGGUUCAACCGACCUGUGCAAAGCAUUAAAGGUCAACGGUUUUAUUGUAACACAGUACCACAAUUCAUCCACUGGGUGGCGACACAGACCAGGUUUCCACAAAAAAAAAAGCCGAUGAAGCUGUUAAGACAGCGAGACGGUGUGCAAAUAUGUUUAAGGAAUUAGGACAGACGGGAGGGAAUCAACUCAAGAUGACCAGAGAGCCUGCGGUAGCCAUGUGCAGUGGUGACAUGCCAUGGGGCACAGCUUUUAAUCACAUAACAACCACGUACUGAAUGGCCGUAUUGCUUCUUGACAACAAAGCACUUCUUUGUGACCUCAGAUGAGACACUUGUUUCCUGAGAGCGAUCAUGAAUUCAGGGGUCAUUGCUCUGCCUGAUGUCGUCUGAGUGCCCAGAGACUUCUGCCCACUGGGAGCACAAAUACCCCCCCAGUCUUGGAACAUGGGGAUUUCACACUCCUGUUGUGUAAAGCUUGUUUUUCUCUGUGUGUGUGACAAACACAUGGU
Molecule: long non-coding RNA, 779 nt
Organism: Pungitius pungitius (ninespine stickleback)
Lineage: Eukaryota; Metazoa; Chordata; Actinopteri; Perciformes; Gasterosteidae
Exons: 3
Source: RefSeq, a predicted model, not a curated record